AAGAAAGAAAAAUCGAUUCCGUCAGUAGCGGCGAGCGAAAGCGGAACAGCCCAAACCGCGGGGGUUUUCCCCUGCGGGGUUGUAGGGCCUUUCACAUGGGAGUUACAAAGCGAUCCGCUAGCAGAAUGGUUGUGGAAACACCGGCCACAGAGGGUGACAGUCCCGUACGCGACAGUGGCAUCGUCUCUCGAAAGGUACCUGAGUAGGUCCGGUCACGUGGAACCCGGACUGAAUCUACGGGGACCAUCCCGUAAGGCUAAAUACUCCCUGAUGACCGAUAGUGAACUCAGUAGGGUGACUGAAAGAUGGGAAGAACCCCUGCUAGGGGAGGACACUGAACCUGAAACCAUGUGCCUACAAGCGGUCGGAGCACUAUGUCUCGAUUUAUCGAGAAAUGUGUGACGGCGUGCCUUUUGCAUAAUGAUCCGGCGAGUUACCGUCUGCGGCUUGGUUANNNNNNNNNNNNNNNNNNNNNNNNNNNNUUUGGUCGUAGGUGGUAGACGCGAAACCUGGUGAUCUACCCAUGGGCAGGUUGAAGCGCGGGUUAUAUCGCGUGGAGGACCGAACCCACUUAGGUUGAAAACUGAGGGGAUGACCUGUGGGGAGGAGUGAAAGUCUAAUCAAACCAGGAGAUAGCUCGUUCUCUCCGAAAUAGCUUUAGGGCUAGCCUUGAGCCACUACGCGGCGGGGGUAGAGAUACUGAAUCGGUUUGGGGCCCUUCCCGGGGUACCCUGCUGAACCAAACUCCGAAUACCGGUUGCGACUAUCUCGGGAGUCAGUCCGCGAGGGAUAAGCUUCGCGGUCGAGAGGGAAACAACCCAGACCAUCGGCUAAGGUCCCCAAGUCAUGCUCAGUCACUAAGGAAGUUGAAUUGCUGAGACAGCCAGGAUGUUGGCUUAGAAGCAGCCACCAUUUAAAAAGUGCGUAACAGCUUACUGGUCGAGCAAUUCUGCGCCGAUAAUGAACGGGAGUAAGCAUGACACCGAAGCCGUGAGUGCAGUGAUUCUUCGGAUGAUCUGUGCGGUAGGAGAGCGCUGUAGGUCAGAUACGAGCCGUACCGAAAGGAGCGGUGGUGGGGCCUACAGGUGAUUAUGCCGGAAUGAGUAACGAUAAAGCAGGUGAGAAUCCUGCUCGCCGAAAGCCUAAGGUUUCCUGGGGAAGGUAAUUCCGCCCAGGGUUAGCCGGUCCCUAAGGCGAGGCCGAAAGGCGUAGCCGAUGGACAGCAGGUCAACAUUCCUGCGCCACAAAGCUGACUGAUGGAGUGACGGCGAUUGAAAGGUGAGGGGACGAAUAGAAAUGUCCCUCGCCUCAUCGUGAGGUGGUCGAAAGGUAAAUCCGCGACAGAAUCCAAGCGAUGGGGACAACGGCAUUUAUGUUCCGUAUGUCAUCUGCAGGUCGUCCAAGAAAAGCUUCUAGGGUUGAAGCUUUGUGACCGUACUAAAACUGACACAGGUAGGCGAGACGAGAAGUCUAAGGCGCUCGGGAGAACACUGGUUAAGGAACUCUGCAAAAUGGCCCCGUAAGUUCGCGAUAAGGGGUGCCUCUGGCGGUUCACGCUGCUGGGGGCCACAGUAAAUCGGCUUCUGCGACUGUUUAUCAAAAACACAGGACUCUGCUAACUCGUAAGAGGAUGUAUAGAGUCUGACGCCUGCCCGGUGCCGGUAGGUUAAGGAAGAGGGUUAGCUCCUUCGGGUGCGAAGCUCGCGACCGAAGCCCCGGUAAACGGCGGCCGUAACUAUGACGGUCCUAAGGUAGUUUCUUGACUGCCCUUUCUUGUGGUAACACAAGGUUUUGCAUCUGGCUGUAUGCUGGAACAUCUGAGCAUCCGUCGGUACUCGCCCAGUUUCCCGUUCCGCUUUCGAGCGGUUCGUGUGGGCAGUGACAAUCCGUGCGGUGCAGACAACCAGCAGGAAACCAAAGUUGAAUUCGCUUCUCGCUGAAAACAAUUCAACCAGUAGGAUCCUCAGAGACUAUACGCCAGACAUCCAAGUUGCUUUGGAUGAAGAGAUAGUCCGAGCUGCAUGGCGACAUGCAGAGGCUGGCAGAAAUGACCGGCCCGCUGAAAGCGCGCGUACCCAGUACUCGGUAAUCAGUAGUAACAAUGCUGAGCGAAGUUCCUUGUCGGGUAAGUUCCGACCUGCAUGAAAGGCGUAACGACAGGAGCACUGUCUCAACCAGUGACCCGGUGAAAUUGUAGUCGUGGUGAAGAUGCCACGUACCCGCGGUUAGACGGAAAGACCCCGUGAACCUUUACUGUAGGCUGAUAUUGGGCCUGGGUAUGGCUUGUGUAGGAUAGGUGGGAGGCUUUGAAGCCGGGACGCCAGUUCGGGUGGAGCCAACCUUGAAAUACCACCCUGGUUAUACUUUGGUUCUAACGCUGAUUCCCGUGAAUCUGGGCAGCGGACAGUUUCAGCUGGGCAGUUUGACUGGGGCGGUCUCCUCAAUG
RNAcentral lists this ribosomal RNA (2446 nucleotides) under Anaerolineales bacterium. RNAcentral's name for it is "partial 23S ribosomal RNA". It matches the Rfam family "Bacterial large subunit ribosomal RNA", at positions 216 to 2293 of the family's 2925-position model. Lineage: Bacteria; Bacillati; Chloroflexota; Anaerolineae; Anaerolineales. The record is from RNAcentral.